RNAcentral lists this ribosomal RNA (492 nucleotides) under uncultured bacterium. RNAcentral describes it as "partial 16S ribosomal RNA". It matches the Rfam family "Bacterial small subunit ribosomal RNA", at positions 29 to 507 of the family's 1533-position model. The record is from RNAcentral.
AGUGAACGCUGGCGGUAGACCUAACACAUGCAAGUCGAACGGCAGCACAGUAAGAGCUUGCUCUUACGGGUGGCGAGUGGCGGACGGGUGAGGAAUACAUCGGAAUCUACUUUUUCGUGGGGGAUAACGUAGGGAAACUUACGCUAAUACCGCAUACGACCUACGGGUGAAAGCAGGGGAUCUUCGGACCUUGCGCGAUUGAAUGAGCCGAUGUCGGAUUAGCUAGUUGGCGGGGUAAAGGCCCACCAAGGCGACGAUCCGUAGCUGGUCUGAGAGGAUGAUCAGCCACACUGGAACUGAGACACGGUCCAGACUCCUACGGGAGGCAGCAGUGGGGAAUAUUGGACAAUGGGCGCAAGCCUGAUGCAGCCAUGCCGCGUGGGUGAAGAAGGCCUUCGGGUUGUAAAGCCCUGUUGUUGGGAAAGAAAAGCAGCAGGUUAAUACCCCGCUGUUCUGACGGUACCCAAAGAAUAAGCACCGGCUAACUUCGUG